Molecule: non-coding RNA, 45 nt
Filed under: Trichobilharzia regenti
Lineage: Eukaryota; Metazoa; Platyhelminthes; Trematoda; Strigeidida; Schistosomatidae
Source: RNAcentral
AUGCGGAUGGAGAGUCCAAAAUAGGAUGAAAUGCGCAUCCUGAAU